RNAcentral lists this ribosomal RNA (274 nucleotides) under uncultured bacterium. RNAcentral describes it as "partial 16S ribosomal RNA". It matches the Rfam family "Bacterial small subunit ribosomal RNA", at positions 523 to 796 of the family's 1533-position model. The record is from RNAcentral.
AUACGAAGGGGGCUAGCGUUGUUCGGAAUUACUGGGCGUAAAGCGCGCGUAGGCGGACUGAUCAGUUGGGGGUGAAAUCCCAGGGCUUAACCCUGGAACUGCCUCCAAUACUGUCAGUCUUGAGUUCGCGAGAGGUGAGUGGAAUUCCUAGUGUAGAGGUGAAAUUCGUAGAUAUUAGGAAGAACACCAGUGGCGAAGGCGGCUCACUGGCCCGAUACUGACGCUGAGGCGCGAAAGCGUGGGGAGCAAACAGAAUUAGAAACCCUAGUAGUCC